This 199-nucleotide ribosomal RNA is filed under the name bacterium C2+6. RNAcentral's name for it is "partial 16S ribosomal RNA". It matches the Rfam family "Bacterial small subunit ribosomal RNA", at positions 64 to 265 of the family's 1533-position model. Lineage: Bacteria; Pseudomonadati; Pseudomonadota; Betaproteobacteria; Burkholderiales; Comamonadaceae. The record is from RNAcentral.
GAACGGCAGCGCGGGAGCAAUCCUGGCGGCGAGUGGCGAACGGGUGAGUAAUACAUCGGAACNUGCCCAAUCGUGGGGGAUAACGCAGCGAAAGCUGCGCUAAUACCGNAUACGAUCUACGGAUGAAAGCAGGGGAUCGCAAGACCNUGCGCGAAUGGAGCGGCCGAUGGCANAUUAGGUAGUUGGUGANGNAAAGGCU